This 73-nucleotide transfer RNA is filed under the name Blautia sp. An249. It matches the Rfam family "tRNA". From Rfam's summary of the family: Transfer RNA (tRNA) molecules are approximately 80 nucleotides in length. Their secondary structure includes four short double-helical elements and three loops (D, anti-codon, and T loops). Lineage: Bacteria; Bacillati; Bacillota; Clostridia; Lachnospirales; Lachnospiraceae. The record is from Rfam by way of RNAcentral.
GGGGGCAUAGCUCAGUUGGGAGAGCGCAUGACUGUUAAUCAUGUUGUCGAAGGUUCAAUCCCUUCUGUUCCCG